AACGCGAAGAACCUUACCUAGGCUUGACAUACACGUGAUGGCUUCCAGAGAUGGGAGCUUCCCUUCGGGGCACGUGCACAGGUGCUGCAUGGCUGUCGUCAGCUCGUGCCGUGAGGUGUUGGGUUAAGUCCCGCAACGAGCGCAACCCUUACUCGUAGUUGCCACCCGCAAGGGGGAACUCUACGAGGACUGCUCCGGAUAACGGAGAGGAAGGUGGGGAUGAGGUCAAGUCAGCAUGGCCUUUAUGUCCAGGGCUACACACGUGUUACAAUGCGCGCUACAAAGCGUCGCGAACCCGCGAGGGGGAGCUAAUCGCAAAAAAGCGCGCUCAGUUCGGAUUGCAGUCUGCAACUCGACUGCAUGAAGCCGGAAUCGCUAGUAAUGGCGCAUCAGAACGGCGCCGUGAAUACGUUCCCGGGCCUUGUACACACCGACUGUAC
RNAcentral lists this ribosomal RNA (440 nucleotides) under uncultured bacterium. RNAcentral describes it as "bacterial SSU rRNA". It matches the Rfam family "Bacterial small subunit ribosomal RNA", at positions 958 to 1399 of the family's 1533-position model. The record is from RNAcentral.